UGUUCCUACGGGAGGCAGCAGUAGGGAAUCUUCCACAAUGGACGAAAGUCUGAUGGAGCAACGCCGCGUGAGUGAAGAAGGGUUUCGGCUCGUAAAGCUCUGUUGGUAGUGGAGAAAGAUAGAGGUAGUAACUGGCCUUUAUUUGACGGUAAUUACUUAGAAAGUCACGGCUAACUACAUGUCAGCAGCCGCGGUAAUACGUAGGUGGCAAACGUUGUCCGGAUUUUUUGGG
RNAcentral lists this ribosomal RNA (232 nucleotides) under uncultured bacterium. RNAcentral's name for it is "partial 16S ribosomal RNA". It matches the Rfam family "Bacterial small subunit ribosomal RNA", at positions 334 to 558 of the family's 1533-position model. The record is from RNAcentral.